AGAGUUUGAUCAUGGCUCAGAUUGAACGCUGGCGGCAGGCCUAACACAUGCAAGUCGAACGGUAACAGGAAGCAGCUUGCUGCUUUGCUGACGAGUGGCGGACGGGUGAGUAAUGUCUGGGAAACUGCCUGAUGGAGGGGGGAUAACUACUGGAAACGGUGGCUAAUACCGCAUAACGUCGCAAGACCAAAGAGGGGGACCUUCGGGCCUCUUGCCAUCAGAUGUGCCCAGAUGGGAUUAGCUUGUUGGUGAGGUAACGGCUCACCAAGGCGACGAUCCCUAGCUGGUCUGAGAGGAUGACCAGCCACACUGGAACUGAGACACGGUCCAGACUCCUACGGGAGGCAGCAGUGGGGAAUAUUGCACAAUGGGCGCAAGCCUGAUGCAGCCAUGCCGCGUGUAUGAAGAAGGCCUUCGGGUUGUAAAGUACUUUCAGCGGGGAGGAAGGUGUUGUGGUUAAUAACCGCAGCAAUUGACGUUACCCGCAGAAGAAGCACCGGCUAACUCCGUGCCAGCAGCCGCGGUAAUACGGAGGGUGCAAGCGUUAAUCGGAAUUACUGGGCGUAAAGCGCACGCAGGCGGUCUGUCAAGUCGGAUGUGAAAUCCCCGGGCUCAACCUGGGAACUGCAUUCGAAACUGGCAGGCUUGAGUCUUGUAGAGGGGGGUAGAAUUCCAGGUGUAGCGGUGAAAUGCGUAGAGAUCUGGAGGAAUACCGGUGGCGAAGGCGGCCCCCUGGACAAAGACUGACGCUCAGGUGCGAAAGCGUGGGGAGCAAACAGGAUUAGAUACCCUGGUAGUCCACGCCGUAAACGAUGUCUACUUGGAGGUUGUGCCCUUGAGGCGUGGCUUCCGGAGCUAACGCGUUAAGUAGACCGCCUGGGGAGUACGGCCGCAAGGUUAAAACUCAAAUGAAUUGACGGGGGCCCGCACAAGCGGUGGAGCAUGUGGUUUAAUUCGAUGCAACGCGAAGAACCUUACCUGGUCUUGACAUCCACGGAAGUUUUCAGAGAUGAGAAUGUGCCUUCGGGAACCGUGAGACAGGUGCUGCAUGGCUGUCGUCAGCUCGUGUUGUGAAAUGUUGGGUUAAGUCCCGCAACGAGCGCAACCCUUAUCCUUUGUUGCCAGCGAUUAGGUCGGGAACUCAAAGGAGACUGCCAGUGAUAAACUGGAGGAAGGUGGGGAUGACGUCAAGUCAUCAUGGCCCUUACGACCAGGGCUACACACGUGCUACAAUGGCGCAUACAAAGAGAAGCGACCUCGCGAGAGCAAGCGGACCUCAUAAAGUGCGUCGUAGUCCGGAUUGGAGUCUGCAACUCGACUCCAUGAAGUCGGAAUCGCUAGUAAUCGUGGAUCAGAAUGCCACGGUGAAUACGUUCCCGGGCCUUGUACACACCGCCCGUCACACCAUGGGAGUGGGUUGCAAAAGAAGUAGGUAGCUUAACCUUCGGGAGGGCGCUUACCACUUUGUGAUUCAUGACUGGGGUGAAGUCGUAACAAGGUAACCGUAGGGGAACCUGCGGUUG
This 1523-nucleotide ribosomal RNA is filed under the name Salmonella enterica subsp. enterica serovar Tennessee str. CDC07-0191. RNAcentral's name for it is "bacterial SSU rRNA". It matches the Rfam family "Bacterial small subunit ribosomal RNA". Lineage: Bacteria; Pseudomonadati; Pseudomonadota; Gammaproteobacteria; Enterobacterales; Enterobacteriaceae. The record is from RNAcentral.